UCCCCAUCCGGUUCGUGUUUCUGGAUCCUUUCUUGGAUUAUCCUAGUUUUCUCUCUCUCAGAAAAUUGUGCAUCAAGGUUACCAACUUCGAUCAACGUUUUCUGUCUCAAACGACCCCUCAGAACAGUAUUGAUGAAGAUGUAUAAGAGAUCAAUUGAGAAUGCAGCUGGUUUUGAAUUUGAAAUUGCAUCCCAGUUCUACUGAAAAUGGAAAUGGGGUCAGAAAAUUUGCAAGAAAGUUAAGUUAAAUAAUUUUUCUUCUGACCUAUUUGUAUAUAAACUAUGUUCAA
Arachis ipaensis is the source of this 289-nucleotide non-coding RNA. The record is from RefSeq and is a predicted model, not a curated record. NCBI's taxonomy places the organism in Eukaryota, Viridiplantae, Streptophyta, Magnoliopsida, Fabales, Fabaceae.